Molecule: long non-coding RNA, 1611 nt
Organism: Gasterosteus aculeatus (three-spined stickleback)
Lineage: Eukaryota; Metazoa; Chordata; Actinopteri; Perciformes; Gasterosteidae
Source: Ensembl
AUGGGAAACAAACAUUGCGAGAAAGCACUCCAGCUACAAAUGUGGACAUUUAUCUUGAAAGUCCUCACAGGAACUCACGUGUGUUGCUUCCGCCCACUUGACGCUGGUGUAAAAAAAAAAGAAAAGAAAAGAAAGAAAUCACACAGGCGAGUGGGAGGAAGACAAGUUGGAAACACCGCGGAGCGAAACUCCCUCUCGUUGCAGACGGAACUGGCCCGGCGGUGUGCGGCUCUGGACGCGGGCGGACUGCGGCUUCUCGGCCCGGCUUGGAAUGACCCACGGCGGCCUAAACUCCCCGCAGCCCCGCGCCCCGUAGGCCACCUGGAACUUUCCACUUUUGCAUCAAAACUUUCGGCGGCUCUGAACUCGCUCCGUGGGUUCUGGUCCCCGGCUGGCCUGCAGAGCCGAGGCACCCGUCCCCACAUGUCCCAGCCUUCUUCCCCAAAGUUCACCACGACCACCAGCCGAAGGAGAACGCAGGAACCGGGGAUUCGCCGAGCACCGGGGACGGUCAUGUAUCUACCGAGAGAGACCCGGCGAAGGGACGGCGGCGGCAGCCCCGCGGCGGCUAACCGGAGGAAAGCGCCGGUGGAAACGAUGUGCCUCCUGGGAAUCAUCUGCCUCCAAGGUCAGUGACGAGCUGCUGUACGGCUCAAACGCGCAGUGCGCGUGCACGUCCCAUUGCUUUCUAGUUAUUCGGAGGCUGGGGGGGGGGGGGGGGGUCCUGCAGACCACGACAUUGACCUCCAUGCUUUUCUUAAAGGGCUUUCUGUGGCUGGUUCAACUUAGUCCAGGUUGCACCAGGAGACACACACACACACGCGCGCGCGCACACACAACACACACACACACGCACGGGCGUCAGAGAGCCGUAUCUGCACGCUGCCCUCCUCCCUCACUGCUUCAGAAAACACGCUUUCUGAUGACUUCAACUUGAGAUGACUUUAAACUACCGUUACAUUACAUGAGUUGGGAGGUGGGUCUAUGGAGGAAGGAGGCACCCCUCCCCCAUUGACCCGGGGUGGGGGGGAUAGAUAACUGAUUUAUUUAUUUCAAAGGCUUUAACUAGAAACAAACUCCCCAGCACAAACAACAAGCAUAAUAAUCAUCUUUCCAUCCUCACCCAACGCAUUGGACUCUGUUUUUGAUUCAUCAUAACUGUGUUUGACCCCCCCCACCCCCCCUUCCCUUUUCCCGGCCCCCCGUCCCUCAUGGGUCCCAUUCACAUGCGGGGGGGGGGGGGGCAGUGUUAAGUGUCUACCUGAGUGGUCCUCCAACAAAGGGGAGCCAGAAAAAGGAAAAAUUAACAUUGAUGCAGCCCCCCGCCCCUUAAACACACACAGCCUUUUAAAAAGUUCAUAACCUCGGCCUGCAGAGUGAGAAGAAAGCCACGUACGGAUCCUUCCCAGCUCGGGCCAGGAAUGCUCUUAUCCUGCCAAGGAUCCGGCUCAUUAACUCGCCGCUCAUCAUGUCAAAACAGAGUCACUUUUAUCUGAUCCCCGCAUGUGGACUGAAGCGCGGACGAGCACUGAUUGUGUUUUUGCCCGUGCCCGUCAACACAAGGCCGCGAUUGCCAGAUCGGCUGAAAAAUUCCUUUAAGUUGAAGUGUCC